Molecule: ribosomal RNA, 253 nt
Filed under: uncultured prokaryote
Description: partial 16S ribosomal RNA
Rfam family: Bacterial small subunit ribosomal RNA
Source: RNAcentral
ACGGAGGGUGCAAGCGUUAUCCGGAUUCACUGGGUUUAAAGGGUGCGUAGGCGGCUUGAUAAGUCAGUGGUGAAAGCUCGCAGCUUAACUGUGAAACUGCCAUUGAAACUGUUUAGCUUGAAUCUGGUUGAAGUGGGCGGAAUGUGUCAUGUAGCGGUGAAAUGCUUAGAUAUGACACAGAACACCGAUUGCGAAGGCAGCUCACUAAACUGUAACUGACGCUGAGGCACGAAAGCGUGGGGAGCAAACGGGA